CGGACUCUCACGCUCACUCACACCCGUACCGGCAGGAGCGGGGGACCCACACGCUUCAUGCCGUCCCGGUACCCCGGGACGGCUCGGGGUGAAGCCGCCGCGCGCAACUCGCCGGCGGACGGGCAGCUUCAGCCCGAACCCGACAGCUCACCCCGCAGGCGACGGAGAAGGAAUCC
This 176-nucleotide small RNA is filed under the name Streptomyces sp. Its description in RNAcentral is "c-di-AMP sequence". It matches the Rfam family "c-di-AMP riboswitch aptamer (ydaO/yuaA leader)". From Rfam's summary of the family: This family represents a conserved RNA structure found upstream of the ydaO and yuaA genes in Bacillus subtilis and related genes in other bacteria. The ydaO/yuaA element is thought to act as a genetic "off" switch for the ydaO and yuaA genes in its native state. Lineage: Bacteria; Bacillati; Actinomycetota; Actinomycetes; Kitasatosporales; Streptomycetaceae. The record is from RNAcentral.